Molecule: non-coding RNA, 1053 nt
Organism: Sebastes umbrosus (honeycomb rockfish)
Lineage: Eukaryota; Metazoa; Chordata; Actinopteri; Perciformes; Sebastidae
Source: the annotation of a RefSeq genome assembly
UUGAGGAUUUAAGGAUGAGUUUGUGUCCACUGUGGUUGGUAUGAUAUGUCUGUUUGUCUGCCUUUAAUCUACUGACAGGGUUUACUGGAGAUAAAUAACAAAUUUCAGUUCUGUUUAAUAUGAGUUUAUGAGUUAUUAUUAUUAAAAAACAUCAUGUUCAUUUAACCAUGUAGCAACUGAUAUAAUACUGUGAAAAAAUGACUUUGUUACAAGGAGACUGUGAUCGUUUCUCUGUCUGGUGUAGAAGAGUAAAGCAAAAUUAAAGAAAUAAUCUUCAUUCAUACAAAAAUUUCAAUUUAUAUCAUUAAUUUAAUAUUUAUAGAUUCAAUAAAGUAUGAAGUUUUCUGUAUUGUUAUAAAAAGCAGAGAGUAUUUUCAGUGGAUAGAUGCUUGUUCACAGUGCAGGAGGUUUUUGUACGGCCACUUAAUGAGUUUGUAUCACUGUGGUGGACUUUUGGUGGAGGAACCAAACUCAUCAUUAACUCUGGCACCAUGGUCAGGCCCUCAGUCUCUCUGCUUCCCCCCUCCUCUGAGCAGCUCUCUGGGGGCUCGGCCACGCUGGCCUGCCUGCUGACCGGCUACUCUCCUCAGGGAGCCGUGGUGAGCUGGCAGGUGGACGGUACGGAGGUGACGGAGGGGGUCCUGAGCAGCUCAGAGGAGGAGAAGAGCGGCCGCUACAGCAGCAGCAGCACCCUGAGCCUGAGCCAGGAGCGCUGGAUGGAAGGAGAGCUGUACUCCUGCAGGGUCCUCCAUCAGGGCCACAGCCAGACCCAGUCCCUCCACAGGAGCCAGUGUAAGGGCUAGAGGGGCCGGCUGAAGCCCAGGACAGGAGCUCUGUGUGGGGGGGAGCAGCUCUGAUCAAUAGCAGUUUGAAUGCUUGUAGAGGAAACUGAAGCUUUGUGUGACAGAGAACAACACUGCUGUAAAGUGUUGGACAACAACAACUUAGAGAGGAAUGUGUGUCGCUCAGCAGCUUCAUGUGAGUGAGCUUAAUAACUGUCAUGUUGAUCACUGAUGUUGUUGCUAAUAAAGAUUUCACUGAUACAUAACUUCA